This is a long non-coding RNA of Bos taurus (domestic cattle), 407 nucleotides long. Lineage: Eukaryota; Metazoa; Chordata; Mammalia; Artiodactyla; Bovidae. The record is from Ensembl.
AGAUUUAACUGAUUGGAUGAUGGAAACCAGCUCUCAAGCAGUAAUAGGAGGAGAGGAAUGGAUUCAAGCCCAAGGAAAUUUAAUCCUUUUCUGACCCCUGGCCUGUCUCAUCCAGGAACUAGAUGACCAACACCUUCCUGAAGGCUAUGGAAUGGAAGAUGAAUGAACGGCUGGGUUUUCCCCACAGGCUGGAAAAAAGUGAGCCAGAACCUGGCACAUUGUAGGAAGGCAUCUGACAGUGAUCUCUUUCACCGAAGAGAAGAUAUCAUUGAAGAAUUCCAAAGAACUCACAAAAGAGAAGUGGAUUCCCAUUAGUAGAACCAGAAAAGCUUAUCUAGAGUCUUGAAGGUUAAGUCUUAUUUCCUGGCUCCUAAAUUUGGCACAGUGCCUGAUACCCUGUAAUUAUA